RNAcentral lists this ribosomal RNA (457 nucleotides) under uncultured bacterium. RNAcentral describes it as "bacterial SSU rRNA". It matches the Rfam family "Bacterial small subunit ribosomal RNA", at positions 56 to 510 of the family's 1533-position model. The record is from RNAcentral.
UGCAGUCGNNCGGGNUUUGAGUAGCAGUACGUUAAUGAGAGUGGCGCACGGGUGCGUAACGCGUAUGCAACCUACCUUUAACAGGGGGAUAGCUCCGAAAAAUCGGGAUUAAUACCCCAUAGUAUUAUUGAUUGGCAUCAAUUAAUAAUUAAAGCUCCGGCGGUUAAAGAUGGGCAUGCGUGCCAUUAGCUAGUUGGUGAGGUAAAGGCUCACCAAGGCGAUGAUGGCUAGGGGUUCUGAGAGGAUUAUCCCCCACACUGGUACUGACACACGGACCAGACUCCUACGGGAGGCAGCACUAAGGAAUAUUGGGCAAUGGACGCAAGUCUGACCCAGCCAUGCCGCGUGCAGGAAGACGGCCCUAUGGGUUGUAAACUGCUUUUAUCAGGGAAUAACCCCCCGGAUGUAUCCGGGGCUGAAUGUACCUGAAGAAUAAGCAUCGGCUAACUCCGUGCCA